Molecule: ribosomal RNA, 253 nt
Filed under: uncultured bacterium
Lineage: Bacteria
Description: partial 16S ribosomal RNA
Rfam family: Bacterial small subunit ribosomal RNA
Source: RNAcentral
UACGUAGGGGGCAAGCGUUGUCCGGAAUCAUUGGGCGUAAAGAGCGUGUAGGCGGCUCGGUAAGUCCGCUGUGAAAGUCCAGGGCUCAACCCUGGAAUGCCGGUGGAAACUGUCGAGCUAGAGUCCGGAAGAGGCGAGUGGAAUUCCUGGUGUAGCGGUGAAAUGCGCAGAUAUCAGGAGGAACACCAACGGCGAAGGCAGCUCGCUGGGACGGUACUGACGCUAAGGCGCGAAAGCGUGGGGAGCGAACAGG